GUCGGGAUAGCUCAGUUGGAAAAGUCCCUCUAUCGCCAAAAAAAGUCCAUUUCACUUUGAUU
This 62-nucleotide transfer RNA is filed under the name Arceuthobium americanum. RNAcentral's name for it is "partial tRNA-Phe". Lineage: Eukaryota; Viridiplantae; Streptophyta; Magnoliopsida; Santalales; Viscaceae. The record is from RNAcentral.